AAAUUGAAGAGUUUGAUCAUGGCUCAGAUUGAACGCUGGCGGCAGGCCUAACACAUGCAAGUCGAACGGUAACAGGAAGCAGCUUGCUGCUUCGCUGACGAGUGGCGGACGGGUGAGUAAUGUCUGGGAAACUGCCUGAUGGAGGGGGAUAACUACUGGAAACGGUAGCUAAUACCGCAUAACGUCGCAAGACCAAAGAGGGGGACCUUCGGGCCUCUUGCCAUCGGAUGUGCCCAGAUGGGAUUAGCUUGUUGGUGGGGUAACGGCUCACCAAGGCGACGAUCCCUAGCUGGUCUGAGAGGAUGACCAGCCACACUGGAACUGAGACACGGUCCAGACUCCUACGGGAGGCAGCAGUGGGGAAUAUUGCACAAUGGGCGCAAGCCUGAUGCAGCCAUGCCGCGUGUAUGAAGAAGGCCUUCGGGUUGU
Molecule: ribosomal RNA, 429 nt
Filed under: Shigella sonnei
Lineage: Bacteria; Pseudomonadati; Pseudomonadota; Gammaproteobacteria; Enterobacterales; Enterobacteriaceae
Description: bacterial SSU rRNA
Rfam family: Bacterial small subunit ribosomal RNA
Source: RNAcentral